Oreochromis niloticus (Nile tilapia) is the source of this 630-nucleotide long non-coding RNA. RefSeq lists it as uncharacterized. The transcript has 3 exons. NCBI's taxonomy places the organism in Eukaryota, Metazoa, Chordata, Actinopteri, Cichliformes, Cichlidae. The record is from RefSeq and is a predicted model, not a curated record.
UGGUCCGCGGCCCGGCGUCCGAGGAGCUGAUGCGAUGCUCACGCCCACGGGCGUGGCUGUUAACUCUACACCUGCAUCUCAUCCCAGGCGAUUAUCAGGUGGACUACUUGAUCCAGCCCAGCCUGCUGCUCCACGCCAGUCCGUAAUCGUCUCACAGCGAUAACUGCUCGGCGUGUUUUUGAGCCACCUGCCUGUCCACCUGCCCGCCUGGAGUUUUUUGAUCACCUUCAGUAUCCCUCACUUUGCCUUCCCUAGAGCUCCCCGCGGACCUUCACCCCUCCCUCCGGCUCUCACGGCCCCGCUUUGACUCCUCCCUCAGUCCCGUUUUCGGCGUUCCUGCGCGACUCUUCUCCCGGUGCCUUGGUUUCUCUAGUUUCACGUGUGUUUUCCUUAACCCUCCCGGGACACCUUUAGUUAGAAUAAAGUUUAUUUUCUCGUACUCCUGCGUGUGUGUUGGCUCUGCUUCUGGGUUCAGCUUGUGCACUGAACUUCGGUUCAUGACAGUACGGACUGGCCAGUAUGGACCCAGCAGAGCCACUACGCUCCGCUAUUAACAAACAGGGCGCUAUUCUCGGUCGCCACGAUCAGCAGCUCCAGUCACUCCAAGACCGUUACCAGGAGCUCAGUGAC